This is a long non-coding RNA of Petromyzon marinus (sea lamprey), 1815 nucleotides long. RefSeq lists it as uncharacterized. The record is from RefSeq and is a predicted model, not a curated record. Lineage: Eukaryota; Metazoa; Chordata; Hyperoartia; Petromyzontiformes; Petromyzontidae.
UCAGCAGGGUCAUCCCCACUUUGUGCCUCACGAUGUUUUCCUGGCUGAGGGAUUUCCCCCACCCCCAGGACUUCACAGAAAUGCGCAGCAAAAUCUGCAAACAUGUUCCUGGCGGGGGGUCGGAGAUUGGAUCACCGUUCUUUCCCCUAAUGAUGGUAAAUAGGUGUGGCGCUGCAGUGUAACUACACCACCACCACCACCACCCACUCACCCACUCACUCACCAGUGUGAUGUAAACCACUGCGUCAUAGAGCAGCCAGGCCACGACCCAUCGCUCUGCGGGCGGCAGCUGCAGGCGGCCUCCCACCACCCGCGACAGAGCGAGGGCCGCGCGCGCCUGGAAGGCGCAGAGGGCGAGCGACAGGCACGCCGCUCGGCUCGGCCACACGGGGUCAUCGGCACCACCCCCAGCAUCAGAGACAACAGCAGCAGGAGCAGGAGACGGCAUCUCCAUCACUGUCGCGCGCGCGUGGGAACUCGUGAACACGGACACCACGGUUGUGGACACUUCCAGCAAGCCACGGCUAGCUGAUUGGAAGUUCGGCCACGAAUCGGUCUCCCAGCCCCGGGGGGGAGAUACUUCCCCAAUGUAUGAUAAUCAACAGCCACCGGGGUUCGUGCAGCAGAAAGACGGUCACAGGUUUAUCAACGUUGCGCCUUGCAACGAGCGUCCGCCCCACCCCGACCCCACCGCCUGCGAGAUGGGAGAUUGAGUGUGCUGCUGGCUCGGCACCUCCUGUGAACACGGUUCUUCCGCUGGGGACCUCUGGGAGAUGGCUCCUCAUCCUCCUCUGUGGACUGUUCUCAACAUGGACGCUCAGGAGAGGAAAAUCUCUCCAAUCCGGACGGAUGUUUGGGAUAGCCUCUCUUUUGAUAGUGCAUGAAUUACUAACUCGUAGGCUUUUGCGACCAAUAUCCAUAAUAUAGGUUUUUUUGCGUUAGAUCACGUAAAUAUAAAUCUGUCGUUAAACCUGCCACCACCCGACAAAGGUUUAUCACGUAAACAGAACAUGGCAAUUUGUUACUAGUACAGCACACCAGUGUGUUGGAGAGCAAAUCUACAACAUUUACAAUCCGAGUACGACGUUUCAGCAGUUAUUACAACUAGGUUCAUCAUCAUGAAGCUACCACCUGUUUUGUUGAUGACGUCACUUGUAAGCGCUUAUUGUGCGAAGGGGGAUUAAUGAAUGCAUAUACAUUUUAAUGGGUAUCUAGUGCGCGUUGCGUUAUAUAUGGUAAUAAUCAGCGUACAUUAUGCGUGCACAUGUAUGCACAUUGUUCUUGAACCGCUUGUAGUUUGCGAGCAAUCAAUGAGUACCUGUUAUUGUCUUUGUACAGGUAAUCCCCAUUUAUGUAUGGUGACCUGUAUGGGCAUGUAUUUAAACAAUGUAUUAUCUGAUUAUUCACUUCGUAGCAGCACUAAGCCUGUAGUUAUCGGAAUGGUUACAAUUAUUUUUUAUCAAUUCCGAUAGAUUCUUUCAUUACUCUGGACCGGUAGUAACUAGUUUUGCACAGACCUUCGAAAUUAUCAGAAUCACUUGAGUGUCAUUGUUGGCAUGCGUAUUCUGCCACUGCUGACAGUUGUAUUUGGGAAUAUUUUAUAUUGAUUUGGUGUUCUUUGGAUCAUACUGAUCAUUCGUCAUGUCUGCCCAAUAUAGCAUUUGCCACAAGUGCAAUUAAUCUGUUGCACACCUGCUGGUGAUAGCUUCGGUAAUACAUACUCUUUGGUUCUUUCGGUAAAGUCACGUAGUUAGAAAUAAAAUGAAACAAAUCACGACGUUUCGGGCGCAACACAAGUGUCCGUCAUCAGGUGGG